CCUACGGGAGGCAGCAGUAGGGAAUCUUCCGCAAUGGACGAAAGUCUGACGGAGCAACGCCGCGUGAACGAUGAAGGCCUUCGGGUCGUAAAGUUCUGUUGUUAGGGAAGAACAAGUGCUAGUUAAAUAAGCUGGCACCUUGACGGUACCUAACCAGAAAGCCACGGCUAACUACGUGCCAGCAGCCGCGGUAAUACGUAGGUGGCAAGCGUUGUCCGGAAUUAUUGGGCGUAAAGCGCGCGCAGGCGGUUUCUUAAGUCUGAUGUGAAAGCCCCCGGCUCAACCGGGGAGGGUCAUUGGAAACUGGGAAACUUGAGUGCAGAAGAGGAAAGUGGAAUUCCAAGUGUAGCGGUGAAAUGCGUAGAGAUUUGGAGGAACACCAGUGGCGAAGGCGACUUUCUGGUCUGUAACUGACGCUGAGGCGCGAAAGCGUGGGGAGCAAACAGGAUUAGAUACCCUGGUAGUCCACGCUGUAAACGAUGAGUGCUAAGUGUUAGAGGGUUUCCGCCUUUAGUGCUGAAGUUAACGCAUUAAGCACUCCGCCUGGGGAGUACGGUCGCAAGACUGAAACUCAAAGGAAUUGACGG
This 587-nucleotide ribosomal RNA is filed under the name uncultured bacterium. Its description in RNAcentral is "bacterial SSU rRNA". It matches the Rfam family "Bacterial small subunit ribosomal RNA", at positions 338 to 916 of the family's 1533-position model. The record is from RNAcentral.